This is a long non-coding RNA of Lingula anatina, 390 nucleotides long. The record is from RefSeq and is a predicted model, not a curated record. NCBI's taxonomy places the organism in Eukaryota, Metazoa, Brachiopoda, Lingulata, Lingulida, Lingulidae.
UAAAGGUUUGCGGUUGUUCUGUUCUGCUUCUCUAUGCAAGUAAAGUGGAAGACUGGGUCGGACCUGGAAUUACAUCACAGUUGACGAGAUUAGCGCUUCCACAAACAUGGUCGAAGAUGAACCAGACAACGUCGACUUUGGGGACGGAGUCAAGGAUUUCGACGACAUCCUUGUGCUAAUUGGCGAAUUCGGAAAGUUCCAAAAAUUAGUCUUCUUAUUACUCUCCAUAGCAGGUAUUCUACCAGCCAUGGAUUAUGCUGCAGUUGUCUUUAUAGAGGAGACUCCUGACUUCAGGUGUAGACUCCCCGGAGAUUUAAACGACUCGUACUUUCCACGUGUGUCAUGGUACCAAAACACAAGUGAUGACGUGACAUCAAAUUCAACCACCCA